This 626-nucleotide ribosomal RNA is filed under the name Empecamenta sp. DA1204. RNAcentral describes it as "eukaryotic LSU rRNA". It matches the Rfam family "Eukaryotic large subunit ribosomal RNA", at positions 663 to 1245 of the family's 3401-position model. The record is from RNAcentral. Lineage: Eukaryota; Metazoa; Arthropoda; Insecta; Coleoptera; Scarabaeidae.
GGACCAAGGAGUCUAGCAUGUGCGCGAGUCAUUGGGACUCUAACUAAACCUAAAGGCGCAAUGAAAGUGAAGGUCCGCCGUGCGCGGACCGAGGGAGGAUGGACGGUCNCGAGGGACCGCCCCGCACUCCCGGGGCGUCUCGUUCUCAAUUACGAGAAGAGGCGCACCCAGAGCGUACACGCUGGGACCCGAAAGAUGGUGAACUAUGCCUGGUCAGGACGAAGUCAGGGGAAACCCUGAUGGAGGUCCGUAGCGAUUCUGACGUGCAAAUCGAUCGUCGGAACUGGGUAUAGGGGCGAAAGACUAAUCGAACCAUCUAGUAGCUGGUUCCCUCCGAAGUUUCCCUCAGGAUAGCUGGCGCUCGCUUCUCGCGAGUCUCAUUCGGUAAAGCGAAUGAUUAGAGGCAUUGGGGUCGAAACGGCCUCAACCUAUUCUCAAACUUUAAAUGGGUGAGAUCUCCGGCUUGCUUGAACUGUGAAGCCGCGAGAUAUCGGAUCAGAGUGCCAAGUGGGCCACUUUUGGUAAGCAGAACUGGCGCUGUGGGAUGAACCAAACGCCGAGUUAAAGCGCCUAAAUCGACGCUUAUGGGAUACCAUGAAAGGCGUUGGUAACNUAAGACAGCAGGA